Molecule: ribosomal RNA, 470 nt
Filed under: uncultured bacterium
Lineage: Bacteria
Description: partial 16S ribosomal RNA
Rfam family: Bacterial small subunit ribosomal RNA
Source: RNAcentral
GACGAACGCUGGCGGCGUGCUUAUCACAUGCAAGUCGAACGGUGAACGAGGGAGCUUGCUCCCUCCGGAUCAGUGGCGAACGGGUGAGUAACACGUGAGCAAUCUGCCCCGAACUCUGGGAUAAGCGUUGGAAACGACGUCUAAUACCGGAUACGACGCGGGAGGGCAUCCUCUCCGCGUGGAAAGAACUUCGGUUCGGGAUGAGCUCGCGGCCUAUCAGCUUGUUGGUGAGGUAACGGCUCACCAAGGCGACGACGGGUAGCCGGCCUGAGAGGGUGACCGGCCACACUGGGACUGAGACACGGCCCAGACUCCUACGGGAGGCAGCAGUGGGGAAUAUUGCACAAUGGGCGCAAGCCUGAUGCAGCAACGCCGCGUGAGGGACGACGGCCUUCGGGUUGUAAACCUCUUUUAGCAGGGAAGAAGCGAAAGUGACGGUACCUGCAGAAAAAGCACCGGCUAACUACGUG